This 301-nucleotide ribosomal RNA is filed under the name uncultured bacterium. RNAcentral's name for it is "partial 16S ribosomal RNA". It matches the Rfam family "Bacterial small subunit ribosomal RNA", at positions 509 to 807 of the family's 1533-position model. The record is from RNAcentral.
CAGCAGCCGCGGGAAUACGUAGGUGGCAAGCGUUGUCCGGAAUUAUUGGGCGUAAAGGGCUCGCAGGCGGUUUCUUAAGUCUGAUGUGAAAGCCACCGGCUCAACCGGGGAGGGUCAUUGGAAACUGGGAAACUUGAGUGCAGAAGAGGAGAGUGGAAUUCCACGUGUAGCGGUGAAAUGCGUAGAGAUGUGGAGGAACACCAGUGGCGAAGGCGACUCUCUGGUCUGCAACUGACGCUGAGGAGCGAAAGCGUGGGGAGCGAACAGGAUUAGAUACCCCAGUAGUCCCUGUCUCUUAUAC